Manis javanica (Malayan pangolin) is the source of this 3297-nucleotide non-coding RNA. NCBI's taxonomy places the organism in Eukaryota, Metazoa, Chordata, Mammalia, Pholidota, Manidae. The record is from RefSeq and is a predicted model, not a curated record.
UAGCCACACGAGUCUCUAUGGUAGAGUAGGCGGAGCUAGGGGGAAGAUGGCGGCGGCCGCAGCUACCUCUGCACCGCAGGCUUCGGGGAGUCCUCGGCCCCCAGUGUGUUUGCUGGUGUUGGGAAUGGCGGGAUCUGGGAAAACCACCUUUGUCCAGAGGCUCACGGGACACCUGCAUAGCCAAGGCUCUCCACCUUAUGUGAUCAAUCUGGACCCAGCUGUGCAUGAAGUCCCCUUUCCUGCCAAUAUUGAUAUUCGUGACACUGUGAAGUAUAAAGAAGUAAUGAAACAGUAUGGACUUGGGCCCAAUGGUGGCAUAGUGACCUCACUCAAUCUCUUUGCUACCAGGUUUGAUCAGGUGAUGAAAUUUAUUGAGAAAGCCCAGAACAUGUCUAAAUAUGUCUUGAUUGACACACCUGGACAGAUUGAGGUGUUUACCUGGUCAGCUUCUGGGACAAUCAUCACUGAGGCCCUGGCAUCUUCAUUUCCAACGAUUGUCAUUUAUGUAAUGGAUACAUCAAGAAGUACCAGCCCAGUGACCUUCAUGUCCAAUAUGCUCUAUGCCUGCAGCAUCUUGUAUAAAACCAAGCUUCCUUUCAUUGUGGUCAUGAACAAAACUGACAUCAUUGAUCACAGCUUUGCAGUGGAAUGGAUGCAAGAUUUUGAGGCUUUCCAAGAUGCCUUGAAUCAGGAGACUACAUAUGUCAGUAACCUGACUCGUUCAAUGAGCCUGGUUUUAGAUGAGUUUUACAGCUCACUUAGGGUGGUGGGUGUGUCUGCUGUUCUGGGUACAGGCUUAGAUGAACUCUUUGUGCAAGUCACCAGUGCUGCAGAAGAAUAUGAGAGAGAGUAUCGUCCUGAAUAUGAACGUCUGAAGAAAUCACUGGCCAGUGCACAGAGCCAGCAGCAGAAAGAACAACUGGAACGCCUUCAGAAAGAUAUGGGUUCUGUGGCCUUGGGCACAGGGACUGCUGCAGAAACCUUAUCUCCUGUGCGGGACCCCUCUGAUUUGAUCCUGUCUCGGGGAACCUUGGAUGAAGAGGAUGAGGAAGCAGAUAGUGAUACUGAUGAUAUUGAUCACAGAGUUACAGAGGAAAGCCAUGAAGAGCCAGCAUUCCAGAAUUUUAUGCAAGAAUCAAUGUCACAGUACUGGAAGAGAAACAACAAGUAGUUUCGAGAAGUCAAAAAUUUUGGAACCCUAUCCUGACCUCGGAUUGGGGGCUACUAUAAAGGACAAUUUUCUUCAGGGUAGCAGAAUUUCUCUUUCUGGGGAAAUUUGACUCAGAUGAAGCCAGGGAUAGAAGACCUUUGGACUCGGCGAGUAGAUGCCAACUCUGUUUUUGGAUGCUGGUAUCCCUUCAAGCCUAAAACUUCAAGUUUUAUUAUUUUUACUUUUGCUGCUGAUGGAUGGAACAGAGAACGUACUUACUGUUCACUUCAAAUCUCUGUUAUUAGGCUGGAUCUGUACUGUCUGCUCUCCCAGCAUCUGGGUUUCCCUCCUUUUAGCAGAAAGGGAGAGAGGAAAUAAGAGCUUGUCCAGAGUGGCAGUGGAGUCUUCUUGGCAACCAGUCAACGUUGGUGUGAUAUCAGAGUGGGUAGCUCAUUGAUAGGACCAGGUUCAUUGAAGAAGGUGAGCAAAACGUAUGGUUAAUGAAUAAGAAUCCUGCUUUGGAUGGUGACUCAAAGAGUUUUUAAUUGCAACUUUGUUGUAAGCCUGUCAUAAUUUCUACCUAGAAAAUUACAUAGGUGUAAAUAGGUUCACUUCUGUUUAGUAGAAAGAUUAAAACCACAUGUCCAAACUGGUUUCAGUAAGAAGGUGAUGUUUACUAAAGUUUCUCAUGUACAUACCUUGUAAGGAGGUUUAGAGCUGGGCCCUUGUCUUGCCUAUGGGUUUCAGCCUUGGACAAGUUCACUAUGGAUUCAGUGAGACCAAAGAAAUGAUAGUAGAAUGUUCUUGGGGUGAAAGAGUUAUACCCAACUUUAUUUCCCUGGUGGCAGGUCACUAGAAUCCCAUCUACUCAGAGCAAGUCUGUAUGAAGCAAGCUGGUCUCUUCCUCUGGGCCCCUAUACCCCCACAGCUGUCUCAGUCUCUGUCCUUGGCGCUGCUACCACUCCAGUCUUGUCUCUGCUCUCCUGCAGCCUUGCAGCCGUGCCACCAUGUUGCCCAGAGCACUGGGCGGAGCUCUUUAUAUAGAGUCAAUAACAACAUAUUGCUGCAUGUGUGUAGUGAGCUGCUAGCUGACCAGGGCCAGGUGAGAAUCCUGGCCAUAGGAACCUUCACUUUACCCACAGUGCUUUUUGUAUUGUACUUUGAACUUAACACAAAGUAUCCUUGGUGGUUUACUCAGAGGCCCUGGAUUUGGGGCAGGCGCACAGUCCAUACAUUACAGCCAUGGUAAUGGUUUGCCGCACCUCCACGUUCUUCACAGUAUCUUAAAGACAGUACAUUUCUCAAGGAAUUUUAUCCCUGCCUAAACUAUGUUACAGUUCAGUAGGAAUCAGGACCCGAAGCAACAGAUCACCUGGAAAAUUGCUAAACAGGACACUCAAGAGCUAAUCAGAAACUAGGAAUCAGGCCCAGCAAUCUGUUUUAAUAAACCCUUUAGGAGAUUCUGAUAGAGGGUAAACUUGAGAACUGCUCUAACUCGAAGAGCCUGUUGACAGUUCUAGGUGAGGUGACUCAGGCAUCCUCAGCACAGCCUGCUUUAUCAGAGUACCCUCAUCUUGAUCGUCUGGUGCCUAUUCUCCAAUUUAAGCAUUCUAAAAAUAGAAGUAUUUUACCAUGAGGUAUUAAUUUCAACAUUCUAUAACUAUUGUUCUAAAAAUUUGACCCUGUUCCAGAGGAAACCAUUUGCAAAGCAAAAGUCCGAACAUGCUGGGUUUUUCCCCUCAGUGCCUUCAAGUACUUCUUCCGCAAAGACAACUUACCUGGCCUGCCCUGUAAGCUCCAUAACAGCAGGGACAAAGUCUUACUCAUCUUUGUACUCUUUGCACAGGACCUAGCACAUAGUAGGUAAUCAGUAAAUGUUUGCUCACUGAAUGAAUUAAAUACCAGAUAGCUAGCUACUUAUGGAAACUGACUGCCUGAUGUCUACUUUCAUAAAAAUGGCAAAAUGAAGCUAAGCCUGGAACAGGAAAGGUUUAGAUAAGUUUGGUAAGGAUGUAAAAUUAGCACAUUUAGAAACAAUCUGGUAACAGUUUAAGUUGUAACCUCAUUUUAUUGCUAUUGCAUUUGUAUUUUCAAUGCCUAAGACAUUUAAGGCACUCAGUAAUGUACUAAUUAAAGCUGUGCCUUGA